UACAUGGGGUGCAAACGUUGCUCGGAAUUAUUGGGCGUAAAGCGCACGUAGGCGGUUCGUUAAGUCGGAUGUGAAAGCCCUCGGCUCAACUGAGGAAGUGCACCCGAAACUGGCGAGCUUGAGUACGAAAGAGGAUCGCGGAAUUCCCGGUGUAGAGGUGAAAUUCGUGAGAUAUCGGGAGGAACACCGGUGGCGAAGGCGGUUCUCUGGGCCUGUACUGACGCUGAGGAGCGAAAGCGUGGGGAGCGAACAGG
Molecule: ribosomal RNA, 254 nt
Filed under: uncultured bacterium
Lineage: Bacteria
Description: partial 16S ribosomal RNA
Rfam family: Bacterial small subunit ribosomal RNA
Source: RNAcentral